GUCGAUAAUCUACCGUGAAGUCUGGAAUAACCUUGGGAAACUGAGGAUAAUACCGGAUAGGGAAUUUUGUGUGAAAUUCUAGUAUUCCCUAAAGCUUCGGUGCUUCACGAUGGGUCGGCGGCGGAUUAGGUUGUUGGUGAGGUAAUGGCUCACCAAGCCUGCGAUCCGUAAGGGCCUUGAGAGAGGGAGCCCUGAGAAGGACACUGCGAUACUGGUCCUAGCCCCACGGGGUGCAGCAGUUACGAAACCUUCGCAAUGCACGCAAGUGUGACGAGGGGAUUCUGAGUGCUUAGGAAUUUCCUAGGCUUUUUUUCGAGAGUGAAUAUCUCGGAGAAUAAGUGGUGGGAAAGACUGGUGCCAGCCGCCGCGGUAACACCAGCGCCACGAGUGGGAACCGCUUUUAUUGGGUCUAAAGCGUCCGUAGCUGGUUCAUUAAAUGCUCUGUGAAAUCGUCAUGCUCAACGUGACGGCGUGCAGGGUAGACUGAUGAUCUAGGGACCAGGAGGGGUAGAGAGUAUUCCCGGGGUAGCGGUAAAAUGCGAUAAUCCUGGGAGGACUACCUAUGGCGAAGGCACUCUACCAGAAUGGAUCCGACAGUGAGGGACGAAAGCUAGGGGAGCAAAUCGGAUUAGAUACCCGAGUAGUCCUAGCUGUAAACGCUGCAGGCAAGAUGUUGCACAAUUUACGGGAUUGUGCAGUGUCGAAACGAAGGUGUUAAGCCUGCCACCUGGGAAGUACGGUCGCAAGGCUGAAACUUAAAGGAAUUGGCGGGGGAGCACCACAAGGGGUGCGGCGUGCGGUUUAAUCGAAUUCAACGCCGAGAAUCUCACCAGGGGCGACGGCAGGAUGAUACACAGUCUGAAGGGCUUUGUUGACGAGCCGAGAGGUGGUGCAUGGCCGCCGUCAGCUCGUGCCGUGAGGUGUCCUGUUAAGUCAGGCAACGAGCGAGACCUGUAUCCAUACUUGCUCACGCGUCCGCAAGGAUGAGCGAGCACACUAUGGAGACUGCCUUCGAAAGGAGGAGGAAGGUGCAGGCUACGGCAGGUCUGUAUGCCCCGAAUCUUCUGGGCUACACGCGCGCAACAAUGGUCGUGACAAUGGGAUGCAACUCUGAAAAGAGAAGCCAAUCCUCGAAACACGACCUCAGUACGAAUCGAGGGUUGCAACUCACCCUCGUGAAGUCGGAAUCCCUAGUAAUCAGACGUUAGCAUCGUCUGGUGAAUAUGUCCCUGCUCCUUGCACACACCGCCCGUCAAAUCAACCGAGCAGGGUCUCGGUGAGCCGUAGUUAUUUUGACUACGCCGAACCGGGGCUCAGUGAGGUGGGUUAAGUCGUCACAAGGUA
This 1344-nucleotide ribosomal RNA is filed under the name metagenome. RNAcentral describes it as "bacterial SSU rRNA". It matches the Rfam family "Archaeal small subunit ribosomal RNA". The record is from RNAcentral.